RNAcentral lists this long non-coding RNA (440 nucleotides) under Amborella trichopoda. Its description in RNAcentral is "long non-coding RNA (ATRI_LNC003378)". Lineage: Eukaryota; Viridiplantae; Streptophyta; Magnoliopsida; Amborellales; Amborellaceae. The record is from RNAcentral.
GAGAGAGAGAGAUUGCAACUUACGAAGUGGGGUAGUGACGGAUUUGGGAGGAUCCUCCAUUUUGGAGGACGAUGUCUUGAUUGGAGAAACGAUUUGGAGAAGGGUGUCUGUGAUUUUGGCUUAAAUCUCCAUUACUGCAUGAUAUAUUGGACGAUCCGGAGAGAGAUACAAAUAGAGAGAUAGAGAGUACAAUUGGAGAGAUAGAGAGUUCGAUGGAGUAAAAAACUAGCCGGUCAGGCGUCGAACCGAACCCGCCGAUUUUGAUUUAGCCGAACUGGAUUUGUGUUAAAACUGCAUUUUUUUUUUUUUUGGCAAAACACGGGGAAAACGAAAUAACGGCAGUUUUUUGAUAUGGAGCACGUUAUUCGCAGUAGGAACCGUGAAUUAAUUUUUUUUGCUUUUUUUUAUUCGAUUUAAUUGCCAUUUUUUUGACGGUUUUG